This 496-nucleotide long non-coding RNA is filed under the name Chrysemys picta bellii (western painted turtle). RNAcentral's name for it is "lncRNA (ENSCPBG00000027026.1)". Lineage: Eukaryota; Metazoa; Chordata; Testudines; Emydidae. The record is from RNAcentral.
UUGUUGUUACUCGGGGCAAGGACACUGACUAUAGAGAACACAAUUUUAUUGUCUUACAGGAUUUAAAUGUCUAUCCCAAGCAAACUGCAACAAGCUGUUGAGAUUCAAGCAAGUAUUUGUAAGAGAAGAGGGCAACCAUAGCAGAAGAAGAUAAAAGCAUUCCAGAUGGACGGAUACUGAGGAUUUUGAUGUAUUUCACAGUACAUCCCGCUCCGCUAACACAGACAGCCAGGACGAGGCAAAGACAAAUUCUGGCUGCCUACAUGAAAACGUUUGCUGAGUUGCACCAGCUCAGAAGAUUGCCGAGGGUUAUAAAAAACAAAGGCCUAAUAAGGAACCCAAUAUAAGCAUCAGUCAAAUUACUUUGGGAGAGGGAAAAAUCAACUGCUUUCAGUUUUCUUAACAGUACUUACUUACAAACUUGUGAGUACUUGGUUGAUUUUCAUUUCCUCGAUGGAAAGUACCCGAGUGAUGGUAAUAAAAGCGUAAAGGCAAU